CCCUCCUCGGCAUCCUCUGCAUCCCCUGCACAGCCCCCCGCGUGCUGGGCGGGCGAACCCUCCCAGGCCCCCUGCAGGGACACAACCAAGGACUCCCUCCCCCGCAGAAAGUCCCCAGUGCACGCUCGCAUCUGAAGACAGGCAGGGGGAGAGGGCGCUGGCUCGGCCCCAGGAGUUUUAUUCUUCUCACCUUCUCUCUGGACCCUUUCCCCAUUUCAAAUUCUAUAAACAAAUACACAGAGCUGGUUAAGCCUCGGCCAAGCCCUUGGGGGGUGGCCGGAGGUGUACCGGACUGUUUCCUCAUCUGGAGGGCUUGGAAGGUGAUGUUCCCGGGUACCAGGAGGGGAAAAUGUAGGUAGUGCUCCUCCUCUUAUGAAGGCUAUGCCCCUGUUCCAGAGCCUGCUCUGAGGCAGAGGUUACAAGAAGACAAAGUCCAUCCUUGGUUUCUUGGAUGGAUUACAGCAAGCCUUCCCAGAGAAGGAAGCUCACUAUGGCAAUUCCAUGGAAAAUCGAUUUGAUCCAACGGGGGAGUAGGGGCAGAACUGGGGACCAAGAGUCUAGUUGAAUUUCUGGAUUAGUCCAGGGGAGAAAAUGGAGUGGGAGGUACCUGAGGUCACAGCUGGGUCGUCCGAGAUGCAUCCCAGGGUCCUGUGGUAGCUGCCUGCUUCCUUCAUCCAGGCCGAGAGACACGGAGACCCCUGCCCCUCUCUUUUCCCCAAAGUACAUGCCUGGUCUGGGGGAU
This is a long non-coding RNA of Zalophus californianus (California sea lion), 742 nucleotides long. RefSeq lists it as uncharacterized. NCBI's taxonomy places the organism in Eukaryota, Metazoa, Chordata, Mammalia, Carnivora, Otariidae. The record is from RefSeq and is a predicted model, not a curated record. The transcript has 3 exons.